This 498-nucleotide ribosomal RNA is filed under the name uncultured bacterium. RNAcentral's name for it is "partial 16S ribosomal RNA". It matches the Rfam family "Bacterial small subunit ribosomal RNA", at positions 30 to 523 of the family's 1533-position model. The record is from RNAcentral.
AUUGAACGCUGGCGGCAUGCCUUACACAUGCAAGUCGAACGGUAACAGGUCUUCGGAUGCUGACGAGUGGCGAACGGGUGAGUAAUACAUCGGAACGUGCCUAGUAGUGGGGGAUAACUACUCGAAAGAGUGGCUAAUACCGCAUGAGAUCUACGGAUGAAAGCAGGGGAUCGCAAGACCUUGUGCUACUAGAGCGGCCGAUGGCAAAUUAGGUAGUUGGUGGGAUACAAGCUUACCAAGCCGACGAGCUGUAGCUGGUCUGAGAGGACAAUCAGCCAGACUGAGACAGAGAGAGAGCGCAGACUCCGACGGGGGGCAGCAGUGGGGAAUGUUGGACAAUGGGCGAAGGCCUGAUCCAGCAAUGCCGCGUACAGGAUGAAGGCCUUCGGUUUGUUAACUGCUUUUGUACGGAACGAAAAGCCCCGGGUUAAUACCCUGGGGUCAUGACGGUACCGUAAGAAUAAGCACCGGCUAACUACGUGCCAGCCGCCGCCGUAA